GAGUUUGAUCGUGGCUCAGAUUGAACGCUGGCGGCAUGCCUUACACAUGCAAGUCGAACGGCAGCACGGGAGCUUGCUCCUGGUGGCGAGUGGCGAACGGGUGAGUAAUGCAUCGGAACGUAUCCUGGAGUGGGGGAUAACGUAGCGAAGGUUACGCUAAUACCGCAUAUUCUGUGAGCAGGAAAGCGGGGGACCUUCGGGCCUCGCGCUCUUGGAGCGGCCGAUGUCGGAUUAGCUAGUUGGUGAGGUAAAGGCUCACCAAGGCGACGAUCCGUAGCAGGUCUGAGAGGAUGAUCUGCCACACUGGAACUGAGACACGGUCCAGACUCCUACGGGAGGCAGCAGUGGGAAUUUUGGACAAUGGGGGCAACCCUGAUCCAGCCAUGCCGCGUGAGUGAAGAAGGCCUCGGUU
This 412-nucleotide ribosomal RNA is filed under the name bacterium enrichment culture clone ALO1_GLFRUDD03GJI9T. Its description in RNAcentral is "bacterial SSU rRNA". It matches the Rfam family "Bacterial small subunit ribosomal RNA", at positions 9 to 424 of the family's 1533-position model. The record is from RNAcentral.